Molecule: unclassified non-coding RNA, 87 nt
Filed under: Pseudomonas yamanorum
Lineage: Bacteria; Pseudomonadati; Pseudomonadota; Gammaproteobacteria; Pseudomonadales; Pseudomonadaceae
Source: RNAcentral
UGUGGGAGCUGGCUUGCCUGCGAUGCAGACAACUCGGUUUUUCAGAUAUACCGAGGUGAUUCCAUCGCAGGCAAGCCAGCUCCCACA